This 404-nucleotide ribosomal RNA is filed under the name Verrucomicrobiota bacterium. RNAcentral's name for it is "Verrucomicrobia bacterium partial 16S ribosomal RNA". It matches the Rfam family "Bacterial small subunit ribosomal RNA", at positions 355 to 776 of the family's 1533-position model. Lineage: Bacteria; Pseudomonadati; Verrucomicrobiota. The record is from RNAcentral.
UGGGGAAUAUUGCACAAUGGGGGAAACCCUGAUGCAGCGACGCCGCGUGAGCGAAGAAGGUUUUCGAAUCGUAAAGCUCUGUCCUAUGAGAAGAUAAUGACGGUAUCAUAGGAGGAAGCACCGGCUAACUACGUGCCAGCAGCCGCGGUAAUACGUAGGGUGCGAGCGUUGUCCGGAAUUACUGGGCGUAAAGAGCUCGUAGGCGGUUUGUCACGUCGUCUGUGAAAUCCUAGGGCUUAACCCUGGACGUGCAGGCGAUACGGGCUGACUUGAGUACUACAGGGGAGACUGGAAUUUCUGGUGUAGCGGUGGAAUGCACAGAUAUCAGGAAGAACACCGAUGGCGAAGGCAGGUCUCUGGGUAGUAACUGACGCUGAGGAGCGAAAGCAUGGGUAGCGAACAGG